AUUGAACGCUGGCGGCGUGCUUAACACAUGCAAGUCGAGCGGUAACACGGGGGCAACCCUGGCGACGAGCGGCGAACGGGUGCGUAAUACAUGGGAAUCUGCCCUGUAGUGGGGAAUAACCCGGCGAAAGCCGGGCUAAUGCCGCAUACGAUCUACGGAUGAAAGCGGGGGACCUUCGGGCCUCGCGCUAUUGGAUGAGCCCAUGUCGGAUUAGCUAGUUGGUGAGGUAACGGCUCACCAAGGCGACGAUCCGUAGCUGGUCUGAGAGGACGGCCAGCCACACUGGGACUGAGACACGGCCCAGACUCCUACGGGAGGCAGCAGUGGGGAAUAUUGGACAAUGGGGGAAACCCUGAUCCAGCGACGCCGCGUGUGUGAAGAAGGCCUGCGGGUUGUAAAGCACUUUCGGUGGGAACGAAAUGUGCCGGGCUAACUACCCCGGCAAGCUGACGUUACUCAAUGAAGAAGCACCGGCUAACUCUGUGCC
This 487-nucleotide ribosomal RNA is filed under the name uncultured bacterium. RNAcentral's name for it is "bacterial SSU rRNA". It matches the Rfam family "Bacterial small subunit ribosomal RNA", at positions 29 to 509 of the family's 1533-position model. The record is from RNAcentral.